UGGGGAAUAUUGGACAAUGGGCGCAAGCCUGAUCCAGCAAUGCCGCGUGAGUGAUGAAGGCCUUAGGGUUGUAAAGCUCUUUUACCCGGGAUGAUAAUGACAGUACCGGGAGAAUAAGCCCCGGCUAACUCCGUGCCAGCAGCCGCGGUAAUACGGAGGGGGCUAGCGUUGUUCGGAAUUACUGGGCGUAAAGCGCACGUAGGCGGCUACUCAAGUCAGAGGUGAAAGCCCGGGGCUCAACCCCGGAACGGCCUUUGAAACUAGGUAGCUAGAAUUCUGGAGAGGUCAGUGGAAUUCCGAGUGUAGAGGUGAAAUUCGUAGAUAUUCGGAAGAACACCAGUGGCGAAGGCGACUGACUGGACAGACAUUGACGCUGAGGUGCGAAAGCGUGGGGAGCAAACA
Molecule: ribosomal RNA, 402 nt
Filed under: uncultured Novosphingobium sp.
Lineage: Bacteria; Pseudomonadati; Pseudomonadota; Alphaproteobacteria; Sphingomonadales; Sphingomonadaceae
Description: bacterial SSU rRNA
Rfam family: Bacterial small subunit ribosomal RNA
Source: RNAcentral